Molecule: RNA transcript, 5715 nt
Organism: Gavialis gangeticus (Gharial)
Lineage: Eukaryota; Metazoa; Chordata; Crocodylia; Gavialidae
Gene: PURG
Gene name: purine rich element binding protein G
Exons: 3
Source: RefSeq, a predicted model, not a curated record
UUAGGCCUUUACUAAAUAGGAUAAAGGAGAACAUGGAGCUGUUCUUCUGAAGAUGAAGUUUCUGCCCCCUAAAUUAAGAAUCUUCUUUGACAAGUUAAAUUUACAAGUUCUUUACUUAUACCUUACACAUGAAGCCCACAUAUAAUUUAGAGCAAAACACCCUGUUCAGCAGAACACUUUCAAAAAGAAAACACAUCGAAAAAACACGUGUAGAACUAUCGGCAAAAAAAUUAUAAUGGCACACAAUGUUUCACUGUAGUUUACCACAUUUUUUCUUUUUAACAAUAUAUUAUGUCAUUUCCAUUUUCUUUAAUAAUUUUCAAAGUAUUUUCAAAGCUGCAUAUAUUUGUGAAAUGACAUUGAAAUGAGUCAAGUUUAUCAGUAACCUGUGUAUAGCAGGUAGCAAAUUCAAACAUAUUCUUUCCCAACAGCACUUUUUCAGUAGGAUAUUAUUAGCUGAAAGGUGUUUUAAAGUCAUGGCAUGAAGAAUCGUAAAUGUAAACCCAAGUACAUUGUGAUGCUAAUUAACGGACUUUUCUGAAAUGUAUGUGAUGCUUAAUAUUUUUCUUAGAAAGUUUUGUUUAAUGUUAGAUCAUUGUUCUGAAGGAUAUUAGUCCUACUGGAAUUAAAAUAAUGGAAAUAAAAUGCAUGUGUUACAAGUGUAGAAAUGGUGGAGAAUUACAUGUGAACCUACUGUACGAUACUGAUUCUGUUUUCAAACAAUCUGUUUUGCUGUUCAAUAGUUGACAUAAAAAUGCAAAUGUACUGUAAUUUAGCACUUUUCUAAUGGGCCCUGUUCUCACUAAACAAGUGAUAGGAAAUGGUUUUGUUGUGGAAGAUGUAAUCAUGCUUGCAUGAGUACAUCAAGGCUUUGCCCUUCUUGAUGUGUAAACACAACUUCCAUUAAUAUUAACAUAUUAGCCCUUAAAAUACUAACUCUUCCUAUGCGUUUGUUACACCACAUCUUAAAAAUAUUAUAAUUGGCCUAAAUGCAGUUAAAAGUUCAGAGUCUCUUUACAUGAUCUUUUUGCAGAAAGAUAUUUCACUGUCAAAUAGGUAGGCAGGUCAGGGUUGCCAGGGACAGAGGUUGUACAUUGCACUCUCAUUGUUCAGAGAGCUAACUAGUAUCAUUGUGAAUUUGCCUUUAACUUCUUCUCUCCCCAAGUCCCUGAUGAAAUGGGAUUGUUUCUUGAAGGACUGGCUGCCUUUCUUGAGUCAAGACUUCAUAUAUCCUGAUUAACAAUAUUAUCAAUCUUGUAUAGCACUGCCAUACAGAAAUGAACGUGGAGGUGCUUAUUCCCAGCACGUGAAAUAAAAUGCCAUGCCAUGCAGUACACUUUUACAUUAUCAACAGAGUGAAAAUGAACACAUUAAACCUGGUUUUCUGUUUUCCUCUUUGUUGUUAAUAGUAGCAUCCAUGAUCAUGGUAGUCCUGUUUAACAUUGUAUUGCCUGGAGGCCCCUGUUUGCUUGUAAGCUCUGAAAAUACAGAUGCAAGACUGGGGUAGAGACAGGGAUAUAACAAAGGAAUGAGUAAGAAGUGUCUGGUUUCAGGAGUCCUGGCUUACAAGAAGGUCAUAGCCACUAGGACUGGUAGGGGUGAUGUCAGCAGGAACCACAGCCAGCAGAACAAACAAAAAAAAUCUAGUCUUGGAGAUGCUGCAUGGGAAGAAGCAGCAACAAGCUUCUGUCCUUGCUGGGCGUAUACUCUGUUGGAGACUAGUCUGAGACAGGUGCCCAUGUUUAUGGAGUUACAAGGAUCUCAGUGGUGGUACAAGGGAGGAGGGAAGAAGAUCAAGAGUCCCAUGGGGGCUAGGUGAGAUGCUGUUUGAAUGACACAGACCUGAUUGGGAGAUAGGCCAAGAUGUUGAGAUGACAGCAAAAUACAAAUUUGUUGGCAAAGGGAUAAACUUGAGAGUGAUCCACUUAAAUAUGGGAGCUAAAAACAUGCUGGUGGACAAGGCAUCAUGAGAUAGGAUGCGAAGAAAAGGCAAGAUCAAGGACAAACAAAGGUGACCUGAGAGAAGCAGAUGAGACAGAAGGCAGCAAAGGAGGGAUUUGGAUGUGUGUAAACAGCAGGUUUAAAAAUACUGUAAUGGAGGGAGGGCAACAAGAGAAGUGCCAAUAGUAGCAAUAAAGGAGGGAGGUAGAGGUUGCAGAAAUGAAACAGGUUAAGAGGUGCUGUGGACAAGGGCUGAGGUAGCAGCAAAUGGGGAGUAGGAGGAGAGUGUGAUUUAAGAAGAUGGGUCCACAAGCAGAGUGGCAGUUGUAGAGGUCCUGGCCAUUUUCAAUCCUAGUUAUCUGAAGUUCCUGUAAGCUAUAGUGCAAGGCAGAAGACAGUGAUGUUGUCUUUGUACUGUCAUUUGGCCCUUGUGAAGCUCCAGUAUCCUGGGGAGUAGGGGCAGGCUCUCUCCCCCUAGGAAGCACUCAUUUCCCUAGGCUUAGCUCCCUUCCAUGGAGUGGACACCAUCCUGCUCACCAUACACCAAUAUGUUAAAACAUAGAAACCUUCAGAUUCAGACUGAGGCAGGAUCUCCUCCACACCAGGCAUCAGAUUCAAAGGGCACUCCCUCACCAUACAGACUCCAUGAAAUAACACAAAGAGUGAGUUUCAAGAAAGCUAAGGCUGGAGGUGGGAAUGAGUUCAUCUUUAUAUUUUGUAGUUUAUUUUUGUUUCUCUCAGUUCCUUCACCUCCAAAUCUGCAAGUUAAAAGUUUCGUAUAUGAUGCUGCCAAAACACACACACACAAAUUUGGGCAGGCUUUCUGAGACCAUGUAAAUAUCAGACCCUGAAUUUCAAAGGAAGGGAGGAGAUAAACUACCAGCCAAGUUCCUCUCAUAGGAGAAAUUAAAUCUACAGCCUAUCCUAGUGUUAACAGGGUACAAGGUGUUACUUGUCACGUACUGUACUGAAAGGUUUCAUUGAUCAGUGACUGUAUUGUACUGUAUGAAAAAUCAUCAAUUGCCUUGUAUUGUUUAUAAUGGACUGUACCAUAUACUACACAAAUUUCCAUAUUCCAAGUUUUUCAAUGAUGCAUGUUGCCAGUUAGGUCCUAAAACUAUGUGGUGCUAAUUCUUCCAUAUCCAAUGGUGCUUUUGUGGAUGCUAACUGCAGACAUGCUGAACAAAAGCUUGAAGUUUAAAAGUCUUUCUUGUCUGUUUGUAUAAUGUAAACACACACACAAUGAUGAUAAACUUGAAUUUGUUUCAAAGUAUCAUUGACAAUCUAAUGUUUUCUAUGUGUGCUUGAUUUGGGUUUGGAAUUGUUUUUUUUCCAGAAAGCAGCUGUGUUUCUACACAAUACACACUGGUAUUUCUUCUAGGAGAUGAUUUCACCUCACAGGGCCAAGAAUCUGUCCAACUCCUCAGGUAGUUGAAGUUGGUUGACCCUUUACCUGCUUUUUGCACCAGUUUCAUUCACAUGAAUUUAGCCAUUUGUUUUCUGAUGUGAAUAGGGUGUACAGGCCUAAAAAGGACUCCAUCUCUUAAGCAUUAACAGUCCUCAUACUGCCUCAGCAUUGUGCAUGUCAUGUAGCUUGGUCUUCUGCUUGCAUCACAGUUGCAUGAUUGUGUCUAUGCCAGGUCCUUACAACAACUUCAGUCUUAUUCAGAAGCAAACCAAAGAGCACAUAGUAGUGCACCUCUUGCAGCCAUGCAAAAGAGCUAGGUGCUUUGUUCAUUCAGUGAGUGAAAGGUGGGAAUAGGAAUUCUUCAGAGACUGCCCACUUAGCCAGAAAGGAAAGAGAGUAUUUUUGCAGCUGCUGUUUGGGCCUCAUGCAGGAGUAAUACUGGCAGCUUGCUCUACUCUGGGGUAGAAAGAGUGGUAGUCACUGCACAGUUCCCUGGGUGAAUACUGAGGAGAUGGAAAAUUUACCAAGACAAAUUAGGAACAUAUUUUGUGUAUUGUAUAAUGAAGAAGUGUGAUAGUAAAGACGUUGGGUGGAUUUGUUGGCAGCACUAGAAAUUCACCCUGGAAGCCAUUAUUUGAGCAUUGCAUAUAGAUUCAAACGCAUUUCUUCAUCUUUUUAAUGCUACUUCUGCCCAUUCAAGGUAAGAUGGCUUAGUCACAUGUAAGGUCUAUACCCCCAGCUGUUCUGUCAUAUAUGAAGUACAAAUGAAGAGAAAACUUGGUUUUCACUACUUAUUGUUCUUUAGUCUUUGUGGACACGUGUCCCACAGAUAAAAAUGAGAAGCAGCUGUCUAACUUGUGAAAUUGAUGGCUUUCAGGAGUAUCAGAUCCAAGUAGCUAAGUUUGUCACAGCUUUGACUGUCAAAUCAAUGCUUCUCCCAAUCUGUCAAAAUAAAGGCAAUGUCUUUGGUAGUAAUAGAUUUUUUCUUAUGAAAAUCGAUAGCCAGAAGCCAAGAAAAGGAAAUGGUAGAUAGGAGACUUAAAACUAACUAGAAAAGGAUUAGUCUUAGAGAGAACCAGAAUUACAAAUGCAUAGAAUUUACCAAAUCUACACUAGGAAGACUGUGUUUCCAUAGUAUUUUUGCUGCAGUUGUUGGACACAUUCAUUUUACACUAGUGUAGAUUUAGUGGAAGCUCGAACCACUGCAAGGAAACAUCCAUUUUCCUGAUGGGGUCUUCAAACAUCUCUGCCAGCUGAGGAGCCUACAUUCUGAUUGUGGAGUGCCUUGGCCUAUUGGAUGAAAAGAAAGAAAGAAACAAAAGACACAAGCUGCUUUUUAGGACAAAAAAAUCAGAAUAUAUUUUUUAUCUAUUUGAAAAAAAGUCUGAUAUUUACCCCUGUUAUCAACUGAAUUUGCAUAUGGUUGUUUGCCACAAUAUCUGUUCUGUCUUAAAAUAAAUUUGCUUACUUGUGUAGUCUUAACAGUUUGGUUUCAUUUUUACAAUCUAAUUUUACCUUAAAAUAUUAAUUGGGAAGCAUCCUUAAAUUUUCAAUCUUUUGGACGUUUUCCAUUAAAUGUCCUGGAAGAACAUCUAUCUAUCUAGAAGGGAGAGAAACCUCAUAAAGAGGUUAAGUCUUUGUAUUUUUGCAAUUAUUUUUCUAUUUGCUAAUUUUAUUUCCUCUUUUCCUGCCCUUCCAGUAGCUUUCAUCGUUGAAAUCAUCUAUAUGGUCAGGAGCCAUGUCUGCUGACCAGGCAGCAGAUUAUACCAGUUCAACAAACACAAACCAGUUGCCACUUUGGGUGGGAACAAACCAAAACUGAACCAAAUAUCAGAAAACAUUUCCUCUGAUUUCUUCCUUGUCAAUAGCCAACACUUGGGAUUUUAGGGAGCCCAUGUUUUACUAUGGUUGCAAUGUCCAUCCUUUUUCCCCAUAGAAUCUGUUUUUCUAUUGCAUCUCUUGGUUAUAGGGCUAGUACAUAGGCUUCCCACAGAACUCUCUCUUUCAAAGUGAUACUUUAAAAAAUCUAGCAUAAUCAGAAUAUUGAACCUGUUUUAGUAUUUUCAGUUUUCACCAUACAGGAUCUUUAUGCAUAGGAUCAUAAAAUGGGGACCCCAGGACAUCAUCUAGUCCAACCUCCAUUCAAGGCAGGAUCAGCUAUGCCUAAAUCAUACUAGACAAGUGUUUUUUCUAACCCAGGCAUUAGCAAUAUUUUGGAGCAGGGGGUCAGUAUAACAGAGACAGACCUUAGCACAAGCUACUUUCAACCUGGCCUCUUCUGUCACAGCUGUAAUUACUGCCCCCCACUCCACUGCAGUGCCACCACUGCAGUUUCUGCCUAACACCUAGCCACCACAGAGGUGAAG